Long non-coding RNA from Oncorhynchus tshawytscha (Chinook salmon), 5791 nucleotides. The record is from Ensembl. NCBI's taxonomy places the organism in Eukaryota, Metazoa, Chordata, Actinopteri, Salmoniformes, Salmonidae.
CCUAACCCUUUACCCCUAACCCUUUACCCUAACCCAGCAUGAACAUCUCCCCUGACGGACAAGGUAGGGCUUUAUCCCUAACCCUUUACCCUAACCCAGCAUGAACAUCUCCCCUGACGGACAAGAUGCUCUUCCUGGGAUGGAGGGCCAGGGCCACUAUGAGGAGGACAACUUUGACUUUGAGACCUCAGGGGCAAACAACAACAUGGAUAAUGGAGGCUCCCAGAACCUCACCAAGCUCACCACGGCCAACAUGGACGACAUGGACAACUAUUACAACUUUGGGAAGGAUACAGCUAACUACAACACGUCUUGAGCAGCAGGAGAAUAGUGUUAAUGGACUACAGACCAUUAGACACCAUGGAUUAAUGGAGAAGAGACCAUGGGUUAAUGGUGGACUAACUGCAGACCAUGGGUUAUUGGUGGACUAACUACAGACCAUGGGUUAUUGGUGGACUAACUACAGACCAUGGGUUAUUGGUGGACUAACUACAGACCAUGGGUUAUUGGUGGACUAACUACAGACCAUGGGUUAUUGGUGGACUAACUACAGACCAUAGGUUAUUGGUGGACUAACUACAGACCAUGGUUUAUUGGUGGACUAACUACAGACCAUGGGUUAUUGGUGGACUAACUACAGACCAUGGGAAAACAGAAAGGAAAAUGCCACACUGCUGCUCAUGCUCCCAGCUGAUAUUUAUUUAUAACGUUUCCACCCUUAGGUCUUCAUCAGGUAUCCAGGACCUAAUGGUGGAAACAUUGUUAUGAAUAGAUAUCUGGGAGCACAAGCAGCAGUGUGGCGUUUUCCUUUCUGUUUUCCAUGAGUUUACCUAGAACUCCAGCACCUGUGGAAAGUACCUGGAUGUGUGUAUGUUCUUCAGCUUUUGUUAAUGGAGAGGAGACCAUGGGUGGGGAACAGACAACAUGGCUGCCGUGCUGUGGCAGUGAGAGAGACUGGGUUAGGGCGUGCUGUGGCAGUGAGAGAGACUGGGUUAGGGCGUGCUGUGGCAGUGAGUCUAGGUUAGGGCGUGCUGUGGCAGUGAGAGAGACUGGGUUAAGGUUAGGGCGUGCUGUGGCAGUGAGACACAGGGAGGGGGUUCAUGGACUCUUUAAGAACCAGAACUGACCUGUCCUGAUGGAGGGGCAGGACAUGCACUUCAACAGCCAAUUCGCUCCACCCGUCUCUGAUAGAAGUGACUCUGAGACUGACGAUUGUGUCUAGAAGUCCUUUGGUAUAUUCUACCAGACAUGAUUGGUCUAACGUCCUUUGGGAUAUUCUACCAGACAUGAUUGGUCUAGAAGUCUUUGGGAUAUUCUACCAGACAUGAUUGGUCUAGAAGUCUUUGGGAUAUUCUACCAGACAUGAUUGGUCUAGAAGUCCUUUGGGAUAAUCGACCAGACAUGAUUGGUCUAGAAGUCUUUGGGAUAUUCUACCAGACAUGAUUGGUCUAGAAGUCCUUUGGGAUAAUCGACCAGACAUGAUUGGUCUAGAAGUCUUUGGGAUAUUCUACCAGACAUGAUUGGUCUAGAAGUCCUUUGGGAUAAUCGACAAGACAUGAUUGGUCUAGAAGUCUUUGGGAUAUUCUACCAGACAUGAUUGGUCUAGAAGUCCUUUGGGAUAAUCUACCAGACAUGAUUGGUCUAGAAUCCUUUGGGAUAUUCUACCAGACAUGAUUGGUCUAAAGUCCUUUGGGAUAUUCUACCAGACAUGAUUGGUCUAGAAGUCUUUGGGAUAUUCUACCAGACAUGAUUGGUCUAGAAGUCUUUGGGAUAUUCUACCAGACAUGAUUGGUCUAGAAGUCUUUGGGAUAUUCUACCAGACAUGAUUGGUCUAGAAGUCCUUUGGGAUAAUCGACCAGACAUGAUUGGUCUAGAAGUCUUUGGGAUAUUCUACCAGACAUGAUUGGUCUAGAAGUCCUUUGGGAUAAUCUACCAGACAUGAUUGGUCUAGAAGUCUUUGGGAUAUUCUACCAGACAUGAUUGGUCUAGAAGUCUUUGGGAUAUUCUACCAGACAUGAUUGGUCUAGAAGUCUUUGGGAUAUUCUACCAGACAUGAUUGGUCUAGAAGUCCUUUGGGAUAAUCGACCAGACAUGAUUGGUCUAGAAGUCUUUGGGAUAUUCUACCAGACAUGAUUGGUCUAGAAAUCCUUGGGAUAUUCUAUCAGACAUAUAGUGACAGAUCUAAACUCUGAUAAGUUGUGGUAUGGAACUGUAUCAGCACUCAGAAAUCAGUUUUACACAGAAACAUCUUACCUGCCAUGGAAUCAUUCACCAAUCAGUAUGUUUUGACAGAAGGCCGUGCCAGAUGCAGUAUAACUCUGAUCUUAGAUCCAAAUAGACACACUGUAUACAGCGCCUUCAGAAAGUCUUCACACCCCUGGACUUUUUACACAUGUUGUGUUACAGCCUGGAUUUAAAAUGGAUUCAAUGUCACUGGCCUACACACAAUAAUACCCCAUAAUGUCAAGGUGAAUUUAUGUUUGUAGAAUUUUUUAUGAGAAGCUGAAAUGUCUUGAGUCAGUAAGUAUUCAACCCCUUUAUUAUGGCCAGCCUAAAUAAGUUCAGGAAUAAAAAUGUGCUUACCAAGUUGCAUGGACUCAGUCUGUGUGCAAUAAUACUGUUUAGCAUGUUUCUUGAAUGACUACCUUAUCUCUGUACCCCACACAUACAGAUAAUUGUAAGGUCCCUCAGUCGAGCAGUGAAUUUCAAACACAGAUACAACCACAAAGACCAGAGAGGUUUUCCAAUGCCUUGCAAAGAAGGGCACCUAUUGGUAGAUGGGUAAAAUAAAAAAGCAGACAUUGAUUAUCUCUUUGAGCAGGGUGAAGUUUUUAAUUACACUUUGGAUAGCAUAUCAAUAUACCAAGUCACUACAAAGAUGCAGGUGUCCUUCCUAACUCAGUUGCAGGAGAGGAAGGAAAUCGCUCAGGGAUUUCACCAUGUGGCCAAUGGUGACUUUAAAACAGUUAGAGUUUAAUGGCUGUGAUAGAAAACUGAGGAUGGAUCAACAACAUUGUAGUUACUCCACAAUACUAACUUGAAUGACAGAGUGAAAAGAAGGACGCCUCUACAGAAUACAAAUAUUCUAAAACAUGCAUCCUUUUGUAAGGCACUAAAGUAAUACUACAAAAAAUAUGUCAAAGAAAUUAACACUUUGUAUUCAGGACAUAAAGUUAUGUUUGGGGCACAUCCAAUACAACACAUCACUGAGUACCACUCUCCAUAUUUUCAAGCAUGGUGGUGACUGCAUCAUGUUAUGGGUGUGCUUUUCAUCAUUAAGGACUGGGGAGGUUUUCAGGAUAAAAAAGAACUGAAUGGAGCUAAGCACAGACAAAAUCCUAGAGGAAGACCUGGUUCAGUCUGCUUUCCAACAGACACUGGGAGAUGAAUUCACCUUUCAGCAGGACAAAAACUUAAAAUACAAGGCCAAAUAUACACGGAACAAAAAUAUAAACGCAACAUGCUACAAUUUCAAAGAUUCUACUGAGUUACAGGUCAUAAGGAAAUCAGUCAAUUGAAAUAAAUUCAUUAGACCCUAAUCUAUGGAUUUCACAUAACUUGAAAUACAGAUAUGCAUCUGUUGGCCACAGAUACCUUAACAAAAAGGUAUGUGCAUGGAUCAGAAAACCAGUCAGUAUCUUUUUUUACCCUUAUUUAACUAGGCAAGUCAGUUAAGGGCAAAUUCUUAUUUUCAAUGACGGCCUAGGAACAGUGGGUUAACUGCCUGUUCAUGGGCAGAACGACAGAUUUGUACCUUGUCAGCUCGGCGAUUUGAACUUGCAACCUUUCGGUAACUAGUCCAACACUCUAACCACUGGGCUACCCUGCCGCCCAUUUGGUGUCACCCCCAUUUGCCUCAAGCACCGCAACACAUCUCCAUCGCAUAGAGUUGAUAAGGCUGUUAAUUGUGACCUGUGGAAUGUUGUGCCACUCCUCUUCAAUGGCUGUGUGCAGUUGCUGGAUAUUGGCAGGAACUGGAACACACUGUCAUACACGUUGAUACAGAGCAUCCCAAACAUGCUCAAUUAAUGACAUGUCUGGUGAGUAUGCAGGCCAUGGAAGAACUGGGACAUUUUCAGCUUCCAGGAAUUGUGUUCAGAUCCAUGUGACAUGGGCCCGUGCAUUAUCAUACUGAAACAUGAGGUGAUGGCGGUGGAUGAAUGGAUGAGUGGACAAUGGGCCUCAGGAUCUCAUCACGGUAUCUCUGCAUUCAAAUUGCCAUCGAUAAAAUGCAGUUGUGUUCAUUAUCCAUAGUUUAUGCCUGCCCAUACCAUAACCCCGCCGCCACCAUGGGGUACUCUGUUCAUCAGCAAACCUCUCGUACACUCGACGCCAUACACACUGUCUGCCAUCUGCCCGGGACAGUUGAAACUGGGAUUAAUCCAUGAAGAGCACACUUUUCCAGCGUGCCAGUGACAAUUGAAGGUGAGCAUUUUCCCACUGAAGAUGGUUAUGACGCCGAACACGCAGAUGAGCUUCCCUGAGACAGUUUUUGACAGUUUGUGCAGAAAUUCUUUGGUUGUGCAAACCCACAGUUUCAUCAGCUGUCCAGCUGGCUGGUCUCAGACAAUCCCGCUGGUGAAGAAGCUGGUUAUGGAGGUCCUGGGCUACAGUGGUUACACGUAGUCUGCGGUUCUGAGGCUGGUUGGACGUACUGCCAAAUUCUCUAAAACUACGUCGAAGGCAGCUUAUGGUAGAAAUUAACAUUAAAUUAUCAGGCAACAGCUCUGGCGGACAUUCUUGCCGUCAGCAUGCCAAUCGCACGCUCCCUUAAAACUUGAGACUUCUUGGCAUUGUGCUGUGUGACAAAACUGCACAUUUGUGUGGCCUUUUAUUGUCCCCAGCACAAGGGGUACCUGUGUAAUGGUCAUGCUGUUUAAUCAGCUUCUUGAUUUGCCACACCUGUCAGGUGGAUGGAUUAUCUUGGCAAAGGAUAAAUGCUCACUAAUGGAUGUCAACAAAUUAGUGCACAACAUUUGAGUGAAAUAAGCUUUUUGUGUGUAUGAAACAUUUCUGGGAUCUUUUAUUUCAGCUCAUUAAACAUGGGUUCAACACUUAUCUAUUUUUGUUCAGUAUACAUUUGAGUGCUUACCAAGAUGACAUUGAAUGUUCCGGUGUGGCCUAGUUACAGUUUUUACUUAAAACUACUUGAAAAUCUAUGGCAAGACCUUAAAAUGGCAGUCUAGCAAUGAUCAACAACCAACUUGACAGAGCUUGAAGAAUUAAAAAGCUCUUAGAGAUUUACCCAGAAAGACACAGGUGUAAUCGUUGCCAAAGGUGAUUCUAACAUGUAUUGACUCAGGGGGUUGAAUACUUAUCUAAUCACAAUAUAUUAGUAUUUUGUGUAGAUCAUUGACAAAAAAAUGACAAUUAAAUCCAUUUGAAUCCCACUUUGUAAAACAACCAAAUCUGGAAAGAGUCGAGAGGUACUUUCUAUUAGACAUUGAUACAUAUAACAGGUUUGAAUGAUCUUCACAACAUGCCUGAUCUGCAGCAUGGAGGAGCACAGGAACAGUCUUCUAUGAGCUGAUCUGGAGUAAGGUCUAUACUUCCCAAAGUGACUGCUGUCUGCUGUUUCUGCUGGCUAAUACUACAACAUGUUGCUGAUGUGUAACCACUUACAGUACUGUCUCCUUACUCUACAAACAAACCUUUUUCCCCCACCUUGUUUCACUUGGUUUAGCUUGACAUUCAGACCAGAUCUGGACCGGGCUACCUGAGACGGUACGACCAGAUCUGGACCGGGCUACCUGAGACGGUACGACCAGAUCUGGACCGGGCUACCUGAGAC